UACGUAGGGUGCGAGCGUUAAUCGGAAUUACUGGGCGUAAAGCGUGCGCAGGCGGUUUUGUAAGCCAGAUGUGAAAUCCCCGGGCUUAACCUGGGAAUGGCAUUUGGGACUGCAAGGCUGGAGUGUGGCAGAGGAGACUGGAAUUCCUGGUGUAGCAGUGAAAUGCGUAGAUAUCAGGAGGAAUACCGAUGGCGAAGGCAGGUCUCUGGGCUGACACUGACGCUCAUGCACGAAAGCGUGGGGAGCAAACGAGGAUUACGAAACCCCG
This 268-nucleotide ribosomal RNA is filed under the name uncultured bacterium. RNAcentral describes it as "partial 16S ribosomal RNA". It matches the Rfam family "Bacterial small subunit ribosomal RNA", at positions 524 to 789 of the family's 1533-position model. The record is from RNAcentral.